GCCCUGCGCACCAGCGCCGCCACGUCGGCCGCAGCUCGGGCCGCCAGGGGGCGCGCGUCCAGCCGGGCCAGGAGCUGCCGGGCACUGGAGCCCGCGGGCGGGGGAAGGCCGCGGCCUGCGCGGGUGGAAAGAACAGAUCCCCAGAGGCCCCCGCCUAGCCCCCCACAAUUCGCCACGGACCCUGAGUGCCCAGGUGUCCCCAGGGCCCCCGGGCACACCCCUCCGGCACAUCUCCCGGGAGACUCCUGAGAGCCCCGGGAUCUGGUGCGCGGCCCCGCGGCGCGGGGGCCGGUGCAGGUGCGGGACCUCGAGCCCAGCCGUGGUCGCUGGGCCCCUGCCCGCUGCCGCCGCUGCUUGGGCGCCAAGGCGGCUUUGUUUACUACCUGUCGGAAGGAAAAGACUGGUUUAGUUGACACACAAUUUGAUAGUUUUUGAACUGUGUUUACACCUGUGAGACUAUCACUACAAUCAAGAGUGAACAUAAUCCUCACUGGCAUGUUUCCUCCUGCCCUGCCCAGCCACUGAUCUACUUUGGUCAUUGUUUGCAUUUACUAGAUUUUUAUAUAAAUGGAAUCAUACAAUAUGUACUCUUUUGGGGUAGUUGGUCUGGCUUCUUUCUCUUAGCAUAAUUAUUUUGAGAUUCAUUCAAAUUUUUCAUUCCUUUUUAUAGCAGAGUACUAUUCCACUGCACGAACAUUCCACAGUUUCCUGAUCCAUUCACUUGUUGAUGGACAUUUGGGUUGUUUUCAAUUUUUGGCUAUUAACAAAUGCUAUGGACUGAAUAGUGUCUCCCCAA
Equus quagga is the source of this 796-nucleotide long non-coding RNA. RefSeq lists it as uncharacterized. The transcript has 3 exons. The record is from RefSeq and is a predicted model, not a curated record. Lineage: Eukaryota; Metazoa; Chordata; Mammalia; Perissodactyla; Equidae.